GAUGAACGCUGGCGGCGUGCCUAACACAUGCAAGUCGAGCGAUUCUCUUCGGAGAAGAGCGGUGGACGGGUGAGUAACGCGUGGGUAACCUGCCCUGUACACACGGAUAACAUACCGAAAGGUAUGCUAAUACGGGAUAAUAUAAGAAAUUCGCAUGUUUUUCUUAUCAAAGCUCCGGCGGUACAGGAUGGACCCGCGUCUGAUUAGCUAGUUGGUGAGGUGAUGGCUCACCAAGGCGACGAUCAGUAGCCGACCUGAGAGGGUGAUCGGCCACAUUGGAACUGAGACACGGUCCAAACUCCUACGGGAGGCAGCAGUGGGGAAUAUUGCACAAUGGGCGAAAGCCUGAUGCAGCAACGCCGCGUGAGCGAUGAAGGCCUUCGGGUCGUAAAGCUCUGUCCUCAAGGAAGAUAAUGACGGUACUUGAGGAGGAAGCCCCGGCUAACUACGUGCCAGCCGCCGCGGUAA
This 468-nucleotide ribosomal RNA is filed under the name uncultured bacterium. Its description in RNAcentral is "partial 16S ribosomal RNA". It matches the Rfam family "Bacterial small subunit ribosomal RNA", at positions 28 to 523 of the family's 1533-position model. The record is from RNAcentral.